AUUGAACGCUGGCGGCAUGCCUUACACAUGCAAGUCGAACGGCAGCACGGGAACAAUCCUGGUGGCGAGUGGCGAACGGGUGAGUAAUAUAUCGGAACGUGCCCAGUCGUGGGGGAUAACGCAGCGAAAGCUGUGCUAAUACCGCAUACGAUCUACGGAUGAAAGCGGGGGAUCGCAAGACCUCGCGCGAUUGGAGCGGCCGAUAUCAGAUUAGCGAGUUGGUGAGGCACAGGCUCACCAAGGCGACGAUCUGUAGCUGGUCUGAGAGGACGACGACGCAGACUGGAAAUGGGACCCGGUCCAGACUCCUACGGGAGGCAGCAGGGGGGAAUUGUGGACAAUGGGGGCAAGCGUGAUCCAGCAGUGCCGCGAGCAGGAGGAAGGCCUUCGGGUUGUAAACUGCUGUUUUACGGAGCGAAACGGUCUUUCCUAAUACGAGAGGCUAAUGACGGUACCGUAAGAAUAAGCACCGGCUAACUACGUGCCAGCCGCCGCCGUAA
Molecule: ribosomal RNA, 500 nt
Filed under: uncultured bacterium
Lineage: Bacteria
Description: partial 16S ribosomal RNA
Rfam family: Bacterial small subunit ribosomal RNA
Source: RNAcentral